UUUUGGUCUGGGUUCCUAUUGUCAAGUUAAGUGAUGACAUGACAUCAUCUGAUGACUGAUAUAUAUUGGAAGAGCCGUUGAGAUGAUGUCACAUCAUCACUUAGCUGACGGUAGGGACCUAGGACAAA
RNAcentral lists this microRNA precursor (128 nucleotides) under Glycine max (soybean). RNAcentral's name for it is "miR5780 stem-loop (gma-MIR5780a)". The record is from miRBase by way of RNAcentral. Lineage: Eukaryota; Viridiplantae; Streptophyta; Magnoliopsida; Fabales; Fabaceae.